UACAGAGGUCUCGAGCGUUGUUCGGAUUCAUUGGGCGUAAAGGGUGCGUAGGUGGCGCUGUAAGUCGGGUGUGAAAUCCUGAGGCUUAACCUCGGAACUGCAUUCGAUACUGCGGCGCUUGAGGACUGGAGAGGAGACUGGAAUUCAUGGUGUAGCAGUGAAAUGCGUAGAGAUCAUGAGGAAGACCAGUGGCGAAGGCGGGUCUCUGGACAGUUCCUGACACUGAGGCACGAAAGCGUGGGGAUCAAACAGG
Molecule: ribosomal RNA, 253 nt
Filed under: uncultured bacterium
Lineage: Bacteria
Description: partial 16S ribosomal RNA
Rfam family: Bacterial small subunit ribosomal RNA
Source: RNAcentral